Molecule: long non-coding RNA, 624 nt
Filed under: Salmo salar (Atlantic salmon)
Lineage: Eukaryota; Metazoa; Chordata; Actinopteri; Salmoniformes; Salmonidae
Description: lncRNA (ENSSSAG00000086960.1, ENSSSAG00000102884.1)
Source: RNAcentral
CUAGACAGUGUAAUGGGUUAGAGAGAGAGAGGUUACUUACUAGACAGUGUAAUGGGUUAGAGAGAGAGAGAGAGGUUACUUACUAGACAGUGUAAUGGGUUAGAGAGAGAGAGAGGUUACUUACUAGACAGUGUAACGGGUUAGAGAGAGGUUACUUACUAGACAGUGUAACGGGUUAGAGAGAGAGAUUACUUACUAAACAGUGUAAUGGGUUAGACAGAGAGAGGUUACUUACUAGACUAGACAUUGUAAUGGGUUAGAGAGAGAGAGGUUACUUACUAGACAGUGUAAUGGGUUAGAGAGAGAGUUUACUUACUAGACAGUGUAAUGAUUUAGAGAGAGAGGUUACUUACUAGACAGUGUAAUGGGUUAGAGAGAGAGAGAGGUUACUUACUAGACAGUGUAAUCGGUUAGAGAGAGAGAGGUUACUUACUAGACAGUGUAAUGGGUUAGAGAGAGAGAGAUAACUUACUAGACAGUGUAAUGGGUUAGAGAGAGAGAGGUUACUUACUAGACUAGACAGUGUAAUGCGUUAGAGAGAGAGAGAGGUUACUUACUAGACAGUGUAAGGAGUAAGAGAGAGAGAGAGGUUACUAACUAGACAGUGUAACGGGUUAGAGAGAG